This is an RNA transcript of Theobroma cacao (cacao), 824 nucleotides long. It is a transcript of the gene named histone deacetylase-like protein, with no coding region annotated. NCBI's taxonomy places the organism in Eukaryota, Viridiplantae, Streptophyta, Magnoliopsida, Malvales, Malvaceae. The record is from RefSeq and is a predicted model, not a curated record.
AUUUUGUGUCUAGUAAUGUAAAUACCGAUCUCCAAAGUGGCGACUCAUAAUACCAAAGGUGGAAACUUGAAUCGUUGGGCCGUCCUGUAUCCAUGGCGGACCAAGCGGGCGCUUCCUCUUCUCACCUGAAAAUCAUUCUUGAAGAAGAAGAUGAUUACGACUUAAUAUACGGCGCUGAAUCAGGAUGGGUGGAAGCAAGAACGCAGUGUGAUCACUUGGCUUCUUUAUCGUCUGAUCUCGCUCACAUUCCAACCCCUAAUACUCCCUGCAACAGGUGCCAGCACCCAAGUGAGAAUUGGUUGUGCCUAUGCUGUAAGGAUGUGCUAUGUAGCCGUUUUGUGAAUAAGCAUAUGCUUGAGCAUUACAAGCAAACAACCCAUUGCAUAGCGCUUAGCUAUAGUGACCUGUCAGUUUGGUGUUUCGCUUGCGAUACUUACCUGGAUGCUCAAGUGAUUCGGCAACUGCGACCUGUUCACGAGACUGCAUACAUACUGAAAUUCGGUGAAGCCCCUCCACAUCGGUUGGAAGAAUGCCCUCAGAUAGAAGAUAAGCAGGCCAAGGAUAUGCCGUCAGGCAGUUGAAUCUCAUGGUACAUCAUGGUUUUCUGACCCCUGCUGUUUUGUAUUUGGGGUUGUGUACAAGGGCAGAAGAAGACAGGAUGGUGUACUGAGGAAUACCAAAUAUGGAGAUCUCAACGAAAGAACUCAAUAAAGUUGCUGUUGUUAUAAAGAGAAUAGGAUUUCAACAGCAAAUCUAUUAUGGACUUGUGCGGUUUAACUUACAGCCAAUGGUAGCAGGUAAGCAAGAAUGGAUUUUCAUAUUCA